GACGACCGGCUGGAUACUCGCGUGUCCGGCCCACAAGUGGAGGCUCCGAUCUCCCACCUGACCGCCCCCAGGGCGGCGGGUCACCCGGUCAGGCGGCCGCCAUCGUUCCGUACGGACGAUGGAGUCGCCCGAAAUCGCGCCCCGCGAUCAUCGUGGCGGUGCUCCGGUAGUGCUUUGGAGCCCCCUCAUGUGAUCGUCCGGGGCAUUUUUU
Molecule: non-coding RNA, 211 nt
Filed under: Streptomyces sp. Act143
Lineage: Bacteria; Bacillati; Actinomycetota; Actinomycetes; Kitasatosporales; Streptomycetaceae
Description: Streptomyces RNA 1601
Rfam family: Streptomyces RNA 1601
About the family: Identified by deep sequencing of transcriptome at the end of exponential growth phase. Appears longer on northern blot than sequencing transcript.
Source: Rfam by way of RNAcentral